GAUGAACGCUGGCGGCGUGCCUAAUACAUGCAAGUCGAGCGAACAGACGCGGAGCUUGCUCCUCUGACGUUAGCGGCGGACGUGUGAGUAACACGUGUAUCACCUACCUAUAUUACUGGUAUAACUUCGGGAAACCGGAUCUAAUACCGUAUAAUAUAUUGAACCGCAUGGUUCAAUAGUGAAAUACGGUUUUUCUGUCUCUUAUAGAUGGAUCCGCGCCGCAUUAGAUAGUUGGUAAGGUAACGGCUUACCAAGGCAACGAUGCGUAGCCGAACUGAGAGGGUGAUCGGCCACACUGGAAGUGAGACACGGUACAGAGUCCUACGGGAGGCAGCAGUAGGGAAUCGUCCGCAAUGGGCGAAAGCCUGACGGAGCAACGCCGAGUGAGUGAUGAAGGUCUUCGGAUCGUAAAAAUCUGUUAUUAGGGAAGAACAAAUGUGUAAGUAACUAUGCACGUCUUGACGGUACCUAAUCAGAAAGCCACGGCUAACUACGUG
RNAcentral lists this ribosomal RNA (497 nucleotides) under uncultured bacterium. RNAcentral describes it as "partial 16S ribosomal RNA". It matches the Rfam family "Bacterial small subunit ribosomal RNA", at positions 28 to 507 of the family's 1533-position model. The record is from RNAcentral.